This 78-nucleotide transfer RNA is filed under the name Methylomirabilis oxygeniifera (SeqCode). RNAcentral's name for it is "Candidatus Methylomirabilis oxygeniifera tRNA-Arg (CCG) (tRNA-Arg-CCG-1-1)". The record is from RNAcentral. RNAcentral also lists the same sequence under 6 other names. Lineage: Bacteria; Methylomirabilota (SeqCode); Methylomirabilia (SeqCode); Methylomirabilales (SeqCode); Methylomirabilaceae (SeqCode).
GCGCCUGUAGCUCAGCCCGGACAGAGCAACGGCCUCCGGAGCCGUGUGUCGCCCGUUCAAAUCGGGCCAGGCGCGCCA